RNAcentral lists this ribosomal RNA (497 nucleotides) under uncultured bacterium. RNAcentral's name for it is "partial 16S ribosomal RNA". It matches the Rfam family "Bacterial small subunit ribosomal RNA", at positions 28 to 507 of the family's 1533-position model. The record is from RNAcentral.
GACGAACGCUGGCGGCGUGCCUAAUACAUGCAAGUAGAACGCUGAAGCGAGGAGCUUGCUCUUCUUGGGUGAGUUGCGAACGGGUGAGUAACGCGUAGGUAACCUUCCUUGUAGCGGGGGAUAACUAUUGGAAACGAUAUCUAAUACCGCAUAACAAUGGAUGCCACAUGUCAUUUAUUUUAAAGGGGCAAUUGCUCCACUACAAGAUGGACCUGCGUUGUUUUAGCUAGUAGGUGAGGGAAUGGCCCACCUAGGCGACGAUACAUAGGCGAGCUGAGAGGGGGGUCGGCCCACCUGGGACUGGGGAACGGCCCAGACCUCUACGGGAGGGAGCAGUAGGGAAUCUUCGGCAAUGGGGGCAAACCUGACCGAGCAACGCCGCGGGAGGGAAGAAGGUUUUCGGAUCGUAAAGCUCUGUUGUAAGUCAAGAAAGGGUGUGAGAGUGGAAAGUUCACACUGUGACGGUAGCUUACCAGAAAGGGACGGCUAACUACGUG